Non-coding RNA from Ochotona princeps (American pika), 913 nucleotides. NCBI's taxonomy places the organism in Eukaryota, Metazoa, Chordata, Mammalia, Lagomorpha, Ochotonidae. The record is from the annotation of a RefSeq genome assembly.
AAUUCAAAAGCAACUUCGGGGUGGGUGGGACUCUUGAAGAGUGCAAAGAAAAGUUUGACGUGAUACUCUCCAGCUUGCUACACCAGGAAAUCUCUGCUUCCUGUUCCAGCUCUGCAAUAGCAGAGCUCAUAGCCCUCUAGUUCUUUCCUGUCCCUGGCAGGCUGACUUGGCAGUGCAAAGGUCUGGAACUAAAGAAGAACAAGAUAUUUUCUAUCUUGGAGAAGAACUAAAAUAUGUUGGUCUCCAGCCUUCUCCUGGUGAUCCUGUCUUCACUGUGGCUGGGAUCAGGUAUCGCUCAGAAGGUAACUCAAGCCCAACCAGCAAUACUGGUGCAAGAGAAAGAACCUGUGACCAUGGAUUGCACAUAUGAGGUCAGUGCUACAAGCUACAGUCUCUACUGGUACAAGCAGCCCAGCACUGGGGAGAUGAUCUUCCUUAUUCGCCAGGACUCCUACGGCCAGCACAAUGCAACACAAGGCCGCUACUCACUGAAUUUCCAGAAGGAAAGGAAAUCCAUCAGCCUUAUCAUCUCCACUUCACAGCUGGAAGACUCAGCUGCGUACUUCUGUGCACUGAGAGAUGACACUGUGAGAGGACUCUUGUAGGGAGUUACACAAAAACCCUCAAAGUCUCUUUGAGACAUCAGCUGCUAGGGUGCCUGAGGUGGAGACUCACCAUGCCCGACAGGAUGUGGAAGGGCUGUGGCAGCACAGCUGUUGGGGGUGGAGGGAGAACACCUUGUCGCUGAAGACAUUUCUCCAGGUUCAUAGAGUGUGUCCAGAGUUACCAUUUACCAGAACAUUCCAAUCCCUGAACCUUGGACCUGAAGUUAGACAUGCAGAACUUAAGAGAAAUUAUGGAGGGGAAUGUAAAGAAUUUCCUAUUUGUAUAUUAGAUUGGACAAUAAGAAUUG